This 1170-nucleotide long non-coding RNA is filed under the name Papio anubis (olive baboon). RNAcentral describes it as "lncRNA (ENSPANG00000037914.1)". The record is from RNAcentral. Lineage: Eukaryota; Metazoa; Chordata; Mammalia; Primates; Cercopithecidae.
AUGCAGGGUGAGUGCAAUGGACCGUCCCCUCCUGGGUUUCUGGAACCAAGCUUGUACAUAACAGACACUCACACUGGCUUGCAUGGGUGGCACCCACUCUCCUCAGGCCAGCUCCGAAGAGCCCCCGCCCAGGAGGGUCACUCGGCUCCGCUUCCUCUGGAGCCCUGCCUCACUCUGGGAGGCAGCCCACUGGGGCCAGCCUUGCCCCUGUCUUCAAGCACACCGCAACCAGCCAAGCAGGGCAAGUCCCCAUUUGUAGAAGUGAAGCCAGAACAUCCACACUGCACGCACCCCGGGGCACAGAGCUGGCGUGCCCGGCGCGUGACCACCUCAACCUGGACGGGGAUGGACAGCGGCAGAACAAACCCAAACCUGGGGAGCCUGCAUCCAACCACCCUCCAGCUCCAACCACCGAUCUGCAAGAAAGACACUCGGCACAGAGAACACGCCGGGCUACACCCAGGAGACGCAGCUGCGGGAGACGGCAGCACCGAGCAGCCAGUGUCCCCAACAAACAGCAAGGCUGGGGGCUCAGGAGGAGGCUCUGGUCCUCGCAAUCCGAGGCCGCCCACUGUGAACAUCCACACCAGUGAGCAAUGGGCAACCCUGGCACCGUGUGCUCCCCGGCAGGGAGGAAGGCUUGGCCUUCAGAUGCCGGACACUAUGGGGGGCAUAAAAGGAGCAGAGAGGGAGACAGACACACACCCUUGUCAUGUGGUGACAUCUUCUGAAACAUCUGUCAACAAGAUGAUGCCACUGGGGUCUGCAAUGAGAAACGCAAAAUGGGACGGGGCUCAAAGAGAAGCAGCAUCAACCACGGACACGCCACGCUGGAGGCAGGGGACCGUGUGUGGCACACACCCCUCUCCCGCUCCUUCCAGUGGUCCUCUCCCCCCGGCACAUGCCCUCCAUUGGGACCAUCCCAGCAGCCUCCUCCAGGAAGGCCUCUCUGCUUCCACCCCACCCUCUUGGUCUGUUUCUAACACAGUAGCCACAGGGAUCCUUUUAAAGACUAAGUCAGCUGGCAUCCCUCCUCUGCUUGGUCCCUGCUGCAUGUCCCUGGUAUUGACCUCCCUGCCUCAGCCUGCACCUGGGCCCUGGCUGCAUCCCUCCUUUGCUGGAGUGCAGUGGCGCGAUCUUAGCUCACUCCAACCUCCGCCUCCCGAGUAG